GAUGAACGCUGGCGGCGUGCUUAACACAUGCAAGUCGAACGAUGAAGCCCAGCUUGCUGGGUGGAUUAGUGGCGAACGGGUGAGUAACACGUGAGUAACCUGCCCUUAACUCUGGGAUAAGCCUGGGAAACUGGGUCUAAUACCGGAUAGGAGCGUCCACCGCAUGGUGGGUGUUGGAAAGAUUUAUCGGUUUUGGAUGGACUCGCGGCCUAUCAGCUUGUUGGUGAGGUAAUGGCUCACCAAGGCGACGACGGGUAGCCGGCCUGAGAGGGUGACCGGCCACACUGGGACUGAGACACGGCCCAGACUCCUACGGGAGGCAGCAGUGGGGAAUAUUGCACAAUGGGCGCAAGCCUGAUGCAGCGACGCCGCGUGAGGGAUGACGGCCUUCGGGUUGUAAACCUCUUUCAGUAGGGAAGAAGCGAAAGUGACGGCACCUGCAGAAGAAGCACCGGCUAACUACGUG
This 466-nucleotide ribosomal RNA is filed under the name uncultured bacterium. RNAcentral's name for it is "partial 16S ribosomal RNA". It matches the Rfam family "Bacterial small subunit ribosomal RNA", at positions 28 to 507 of the family's 1533-position model. The record is from RNAcentral.